GAUGAACGCUGGCGGCGUGCCUAAUACAUGCAAGUCGAGCGAACAGACGAGGAGCUUGCUCCUCUGACGUUAGCGGCGGACGGGUGAGUAACACGUGGAUAACCUACCUAUAAGACUGGGAUAACUUCGGGAAACCGGAGCUAAUACCGGAUAAUAUAUUGAACCGCAUGGUUCAAUAGUGAAAGACGGUUUUGCUGUCACUUAUAGAUGGAUCCGCGCCGCAUUAGCUAGUUGGUAAGGUAACGGCUUACCAAGGCAACGAUGCGUAGCCGACCUGGGAGGGUGAUCGGCCACACUGGAACUGAGACACGGUCCAGACUCCUACGGGAGGCAGCAGUAGGGAAUCUUCCGCAAUGGGCGAAAGCCUGACGGAGCAACGCCGCGUGAGUGAUGAAGGUCUUCGGAUCGUAAAACUCUGUUAUUAGGGAAGAACAAAUGUGUAAGUAACUAUGCACGUCUUGACGGUACCUAAUCAGAAAGCCACGGCUAACUACGUGCCAGCAGCCGCCGCAG
Molecule: ribosomal RNA, 513 nt
Filed under: uncultured bacterium
Lineage: Bacteria
Description: partial 16S ribosomal RNA
Rfam family: Bacterial small subunit ribosomal RNA
Source: RNAcentral